Molecule: ribosomal RNA, 278 nt
Filed under: uncultured bacterium
Lineage: Bacteria
Description: partial 16S ribosomal RNA
Rfam family: Bacterial small subunit ribosomal RNA
Source: RNAcentral
AACGAACGCUGGCGGCAUGCCUAACACAUGCAAGUCGAACGAUCCCUUCGGGGAUAGUGGCGCACGGGUGCGUAACGCGUGGGAAUCUGCCCUUGGGUUCGGAAUAACAGUGAGAAAUUACUGCUAAUACCGGAUGAUGUCUUCGGACCAAAGAUUUAUCGCCCAAGGAUGAGCCCGCGUAGGAUUAGGUAGUUGGUGGGGUAACGGCCUACCAAGCCGACGAUCAGUAGCCGACCUGAGAGGGUGACCGGCCACAUUGGGACUGAGACACGGCCCAA